RNAcentral lists this ribosomal RNA (393 nucleotides) under uncultured bacterium. RNAcentral's name for it is "bacterial SSU rRNA". It matches the Rfam family "Bacterial small subunit ribosomal RNA", at positions 521 to 916 of the family's 1533-position model. The record is from RNAcentral.
UAAUACGGAGGGUGCAAGCGUUAUCCGGAUUUACUGGGUUUAAAGGGUGCGUAGGUGGGCAGUUAAGUCAGUGGUGAAAUCUCCGGGCUUAACCCGGAAACUGCCAUUGAUACUAUCUGUCUUGAAUAUUCUGGAGGUAAGCGGAAUAUGUCAUGUAGCGGUGAAAUGCUUAGAUAUGACAUAGAACACCCAUUGCGAAGGCAGCUUACUACGGGAUUAUUGACACUGAGGCACGAAAGCGUGGGGAUCAAACAGGAUUAGAUACCCUGGUAGUCCACGCCCUAAACGAUGGAUACUCGACAUCAGCGAUACACUGUUGGUGUCUGAGCGAAAGCAUUAAGUAUCCCACCUGGGAAGUACGACCGCAAGGUUGAAACUCAAAUGAAUUGACGG